AUAGUAGGUGCUCCUUUAAUUCAUAUUAAUUUAUUAAUUUAGCAAGGCCACUAGUAUACAUUCUAUAGUGACCUUAUCUCACUAAGUUUCAAGACAAGAAUAUCUUAGGUUUGUUUAAUUUCAUGUGAAAAGCUAUAUUCAUUAUUCAGGUUGUCAUGAACUGAAACUUUCUUGUUUAAAGCUCUUGUUAAGUUCACUUCAAAUAGCAUUGAAAUUUUUUGUGAACCUGCCUUCAUCAUGCUGGUUAAGGAAGUUAUGUUAUGGAACUAAGCUUUGUAGGACUAUGUGUGACAUGAUACCUUUGAAAGAUCUGCUUCACUACAUGGAACCCGAGAGUUAAUUAAUGUUGGAGAUUUUGGGAAAU
Amphimedon queenslandica is the source of this 364-nucleotide long non-coding RNA. RefSeq lists it as uncharacterized. The transcript has 3 exons. Lineage: Eukaryota; Metazoa; Porifera; Demospongiae; Haplosclerida; Niphatidae. The record is from RefSeq and is a predicted model, not a curated record.